Molecule: unclassified non-coding RNA, 383 nt
Filed under: uncultured Spizellomycetaceae
Lineage: Eukaryota; Fungi; Chytridiomycota; Chytridiomycetes; Spizellomycetales; Spizellomycetaceae
Description: sequence contains ITS1
Rfam family: 5.8S ribosomal RNA (bases 1-105)
Source: RNAcentral
GAAAUGCGAUAAGUAGUGUGAAUUGCAGAAUUCAGUGAAUCAUCGAAUCUUUGAACGCACAUUGCACUUCCUGGUAUUCCGGGGAGUAUGCCCGUUUCAGAAUCAUUAAAAUCUCAUAAUACCUGCUUUUGUGUAAUACAUAAAAUGGAGGUUUAUGGAUUAUGGGUGGUUUGCCUUUUGGUAAUCAUUUAAAAUUGAUUGUAUGUACUCCAAGCUUGUAUAUCUUUGGGUAUCUAAGUGCAACAGAUUUUAUCUAUUUCUCUUUGAUACUUAGGGAUGUGCGUUGGAGUGUAUACUACAAGUUAUUAAACAGAUGUAAUGCAGUCAUGUAUUGCUUCUGAUAACUUGGUCUGAAAUCGGGCAAGAAAACCCGCUGAACUUAA